UACGGAGGAUCCGAGCGUUAUCCGGAUUUAUUGGGUUUAAAGGGUGCGUAGGCGGCCAUUUAAGUCAGCGGUGAAAUUUUGCAGCUUAACUGUAACAGUGCCGUUGAUACUGUUUGGCUAGGAUUUGGUUGUAGUGUGCGGAAUGUGUGGUGUAGCGGUGAAAUGCUUAGAUAUCACACAGAACACCGAUUGCGAAGGCAGAACACUAAGUCAUUAUUGACGCUGAGGCACGAAAGUGUGGGGAUCAAACAGGAUUAGAUACCCCGGUA
This 269-nucleotide ribosomal RNA is filed under the name uncultured prokaryote. RNAcentral describes it as "partial 16S ribosomal RNA". It matches the Rfam family "Bacterial small subunit ribosomal RNA", at positions 524 to 792 of the family's 1533-position model. The record is from RNAcentral.